RNAcentral lists this ribosomal RNA (1349 nucleotides) under uncultured bacterium. RNAcentral describes it as "bacterial SSU rRNA". It matches the Rfam family "Bacterial small subunit ribosomal RNA", at positions 28 to 1381 of the family's 1533-position model. The record is from RNAcentral.
GACGAACGUUGGCGGCGUGCUUAACACAUGCAAGUCGAACGAUGAAGCCUAGCUUGCUAGGUGGAUUAGUGGCGAACGGGUGAGUAAUACGUGAGUAACCUACCUUUAACUCUGGGAUAAGCCUGGGAAACUGGGUCUAAUACCAGAUACGACCAAUCUCCGCAUGGGGUGUUGGUGGAAAGCGUUAUGUAGUGGUUAUAGAUGGGCUCACGGCCUAUCAGCUUGUUGGUGAGGUAACGGCUCACCAAGGCGACGACGGGUAGCCGGCCUGAGAGGGUGACCGGCCACACUGGGACUGAGACACGGCCCAGACUCCUACGGGAGGCAGCAGUGGGGAAUAUUGCACAAUGGGCGCAAGCCUGAUGCAGCGACGCCGCGUGAGGGAUGACGGCCUUCGGGUUGUAAACCUCUGUUAGCAGGGAAGAAGAGAGAUUGACGGUACCUGCAGAGAAAGCGCCGGCUAACUACGUGCCAGCAGCCGCGGUAAUACGUAGGGCGCGAGCGUUGUCCGGAAUUAUUGGGCGUAAAGAGCUUGUAGGCGGUUUGUCGCGUCUGCUGUGAAAGGCCCGGAGCUUAACUCCGUGUAUUGCAGUGGGUACGGGCAGACUAGAGUGCAGUAGGGGAGACUGGAAUUCCUGGUGUAGCGGUGGAAUGCGCAGAUAUCAGGAGGAACACCGAUGGCGAAGGCAGGUCUCUGGGCUGUAACUGACGCUGAGAAGCGAAAGCAUGGGGAGCGAACAGGAUUAGAUACCCUGGUAGUCCAUGCCGUAAACGUUGGGCACUAGGUGUGGGGAACAUUCCACGUUUUCCGCGCCGUAGCUAACGCAUUAAGUGCCCCGCCUGGGGAGUACGGCCGCAAGGCUAAAACUCAAAGAAAUUGACGGGGGCCCGCACAAGCGGCGGAGCAUGCGGAUUAACUCGAUGCAACGCGAAGAACUUUACCAAGGCUUGACAUAUACUGGACCGCAUCAGAGAUGGUGUUUCCCUUCGGGGCUGGUAUACAGGUGGUGCAUGGUUGUCGUCAGCUCGUGUCGUGAGAUGUUGGGUUAAGUCCCGCAACGAGCGCAACCCUCGUUCUAUGUUGCCAGCACGUUAUGGUGGGGACUCAUAGGAGACUGCCGGGGUCAACUCGGAGGAAGGUGGGGAUGACGUCAAAUCAUCAUGCCCCUUAUGUCUUGGGCUUCACGCAUGCUACAAUGGCCGGUACAGAGGGUUGCGAUACUGUGAGGUGGAGCUAAUCCCUAAAAGCCGGUCUCAGUUCGGAUUGGGGUCUGCAACCCGACCCCAUGAAGUCGGAGUCGCUAGUAAUCGCAGAUCAGCAACGCUGCGGUGAAUACGUUCCCGGGCCU